This 206-nucleotide ribosomal RNA is filed under the name uncultured bacterium. RNAcentral's name for it is "partial 16S ribosomal RNA". It matches the Rfam family "Bacterial small subunit ribosomal RNA", at positions 568 to 774 of the family's 1533-position model. The record is from RNAcentral.
CGCGUAGGCGGUAAGAUGUGUGUGGUGUGAAAGCCCCGGGCUUAAUCUGGGAAGUGCAUCGCAAACUAUCUAACUGGAGUAGAUGAGAGGGUGGCGGAAUUUCCGGUGUAGCGGUGAAAUGCGUAGAGAUCGGAAGGAACGUCAAUGGCGAAGGCAGCCACCUGGCAUCAUACUGACGCUGAGGCGCGAAAGCGUGGGAGCGAACA